This 519-nucleotide ribosomal RNA is filed under the name Triticum aestivum (bread wheat). RNAcentral describes it as "partial small subunit ribosomal RNA". The record is from RNAcentral. Lineage: Eukaryota; Viridiplantae; Streptophyta; Magnoliopsida; Poales; Poaceae.
AUGCCACUGCAAGAUGAAGAAGCCAUUCUCCAUAUCAAGUUGCAGGAGUUGGUGCAGAAGCAAUCAACUUAUCUGGAUGUACAUUGCAGUUGUUAUGUAGAGGAAAUUGCAAUUGCAUCACCGAUUACAGUUCCCCUUAACCGAACUGAGCGCCACGUGGAGAUCACAGGGACACAAUCAGCAAUUGAUGGUUUAUUGUACCUUCUAAGUGUCACCAAGUCAAUAUCAGUGUCAUGUGAUACUGCUAUCAACUAUUUUCCUGCCGAGAUCAAUUUUCACGAGCUAGAAGAAUGUGAGCUACGUUGGUGCCAUAAAAUGGAAGGAGUUGUAUAUGCCACUAAAGGCAUGAAAAAACUACGCAAUAUGCAUGUCUGUAAUCUCAAAAGACUAGUUUGGUUCUGUCUAGAGUAUAGUUCUCCCGACUUCAGUAGACUAGAGCACCUGCACUUAAGAGGACUGCCCAAGAUUGGAGCACGUGGUGCCACAUACAGCAACACUGCCAUGCCUGAAGACUCUUGA